This 497-nucleotide ribosomal RNA is filed under the name uncultured bacterium. RNAcentral's name for it is "partial 16S ribosomal RNA". It matches the Rfam family "Bacterial small subunit ribosomal RNA", at positions 28 to 507 of the family's 1533-position model. The record is from RNAcentral.
GAUGAACGCUGGCGGCGUGCCUAAUACAUGCAAGUCGAGCGAACAGACGAGGGGCUUGCUCCUCUGACGUUAGCGGCGGACGGGUGAGUAACACGUGGAUAACCUACCUAUAAGACUGGGAUAACUUCGGGAAACCGGAGCUAAUACCGGAUAAUAUAUUGAACCGCAUGGUUCAAUAGUGAAAGACGGUUUUGCUGUCACUUAUAGAUGGAUCCGCGCCGCAUUAGCUAGUUGGUAAGGUAACGGCUUACCAAGGCAACGAUGCGUAGCCGACCUGAGAGGGUGACCGGCCACACUGGAACUGAGACACGGUCCAGACUCCUACGGGAGGCAGCAGUAGGGAAUCUUCCGCAAUGGGCGAAAGCUUGACGGAGCAACGCCGCGUGAGUGAUGAAGGUCUUCGGAUCGUAAAACUCUGUUAUUAGGGAAGAACAAAUGUGUAAGUAACUAUGCACGUCUUGACGGUACCUAAUCAGAAAGCCACGGCUAACUACGUG